GGGGAUUUAGCUCAGCGGCAUAAGCGCCUGCCUUGCAAGCAGGCAGUCGUGAGUUCUAUCCCCA
This is a transfer RNA of Cavia porcellus (domestic guinea pig), 64 nucleotides long. It matches the Rfam family "tRNA". Rfam says of the family: Transfer RNA (tRNA) molecules are approximately 80 nucleotides in length. Their secondary structure includes four short double-helical elements and three loops (D, anti-codon, and T loops). Lineage: Eukaryota; Metazoa; Chordata; Mammalia; Rodentia; Caviidae. The record is from Rfam.